Molecule: small RNA, 117 nt
Filed under: Marmota monax (woodchuck)
Lineage: Eukaryota; Metazoa; Chordata; Mammalia; Rodentia; Sciuridae
Source: RNAcentral
GCUAUGUCCAUUGGCGCACAACUGUAAUCCCUGCUGCUUGGGAGGCUGAGGCAGGAGGAUCACUUGAGCCCAGGAGUUUGAGGCCAGCCUGGGCCUCAUAGCAAGACCCUAUCUCAA